Molecule: ribosomal RNA, 780 nt
Filed under: uncultured bacterium
Lineage: Bacteria
Description: bacterial SSU rRNA
Rfam family: Bacterial small subunit ribosomal RNA
Source: RNAcentral
AGAGUUUGAUCAUGGCUCAGAAUCAACGCUGGCGGCGUGCCUAACACAUGCAAGUCGAGCGAGAAAAGGUAGCAAUACCCUAGUACAGCGGCGCACGGGUGAGUAACACGUGGAUAACCUGCCUCGAAGUGGGGAAUAACACCGGGAAACCGGUGCUAAUACCGCAUACUCUGGCGAGAUCUGUGGAUUUUGUCAGCAAAGGAGCAAUUCGCUUUGAGAGGGGUCCGCGGCUGAUUAGCUAGUUGGUGAGGUAAUGGCUCACCAAGGCCACGAUCAGUAGCCGGUCUGAGAGGACGGUCGGCCACACUGGAACUGAGACACGGUCCAGACUCCUACGGGAGGCAGCAGUGGGGAAUUUUUCGCAAUGGGGGCAACCCUGACGAAGCAACGCCGCGUGGGUGAUGAAGUAUUUCGGUACGUAAAACCCUUUCGACGGGGACGAAACCGCAAGGUUGACGGUACCCGUAGAAGAAGCCCCGGCUAACUCCGUGCCAGCAGCCGCGGUAAUACGGGGGGGGCAAGCGUUGUUCGGAAUUACUGGGCGUAAAGGGCGCGUAGGCGGUUCGCUAAGUUGGAUGUGAAAACUCUGGGCUUAACCCAGAGCCUGCAUCCAAAACUGGCAAACUUGAGUACUGGAGGGGAAAGCGGAAUUCCUGGUGUAGCGGUGAAAUGCGUAGAUAUCAGGAGGAACACCGGUGGCGAAGGCGGCUUUCUGGACAGUAACUGACGCUGAGGCGCGAAAGCUAGGGGAGCAAACAGGAUUAGAUACCCUAGUAGUCC